This 242-nucleotide ribosomal RNA is filed under the name uncultured bacterium. Its description in RNAcentral is "partial 16S ribosomal RNA". It matches the Rfam family "Bacterial small subunit ribosomal RNA", at positions 57 to 305 of the family's 1533-position model. The record is from RNAcentral.
GCAAGUCGAGCGGUAGAGUAGCAAUACUCGAGAGUGGCGAACGGGUGAGUAAUAUAUCGGAACGUGCCCAGUCGUGGGGGAUAACGUAGAGAAAUUUACGCUAAUACCGCAUACGAUCUACGGAUGAAAGCGGGGGAUUCGCAAGAACCUCGCGCGAUUGGAGGGGCUGAUGUCAGAUUAGGUUGUUGGUAAGGUAAAAGCUCACCAAGCCGACGAUCUGUAGCUGGUUUGAGAGGACGACC